CGAUGGGCCGACGUCGCAUGCUCCCGGCCGCCAUGGUUAGUUUGAUCAUGGCUCAGAACGAACGCUGGCGGCAGGCCUAAUACAUGCAAGUCGAACGGACGUAGCAAUACGUUAGUGGCGCACGGGUGAGUAACGCGUGGGAACGUGCCCUUCAGUACGGGACAACGUCGGGAAACUGACGCUAAUACCGUAUAAUAUCUCCGGAUCAAAGAUUUAUCGCUGAAGGAUCGGCCCGCGUCUGAUUAGCUAGUUGGUGAGGUAGUGGCUUACCAAGGCUACGAUCAGUAGCUGGUCUGAGAGGAUGAUCAGCCACACUGGGACUGAGACACGGCCCAGACUCCUACGGGAGGCAGCAGUAAGGAAUAUUGGACAAUGGGGGAAACCCUGAUCCAGCCAUGCCGCGUGUGUGAUGAAGGCCUUAGGGUUGUAAAACACUUUCGUCGGGGAUGAUAAUGACCGUACCCGAAGAAGAAGCCACGGCUAAAUUCGUGCCAGCAGCCGCGGUAAUACGAAUGUGGCAAGCGUUGUUCGGAAUCACUGGGCGUAAAGAAUGCGUAGGCGGCUUGACAAGUCAGGAGUGAAAUCCCAGGGCUUAACCCUGGAACUGCUCUUGAAACUGUCUUGCUAGAGUCCCGGAGGGGUUGGCGGAAUUCCGAGUGUAGAGGUGAAAUUCCCAGAUAUUCGGAGGAACACCAGUGGCGUAGGCGGCCAACGGGAGGGGAACGAACGCUUAGCAGGAAAGUUGGGGGAGCAAACAGGAUUGAUACCCUGUUAGUCCACGCG
Molecule: ribosomal RNA, 783 nt
Filed under: uncultured Rhodomicrobium sp.
Lineage: Bacteria; Pseudomonadati; Pseudomonadota; Alphaproteobacteria; Hyphomicrobiales; Hyphomicrobiaceae
Description: partial 16S ribosomal RNA
Rfam family: Bacterial small subunit ribosomal RNA
Source: RNAcentral